GGUUAUCUUUCUCUUCCUUCAUUGGAUGAUUUCUAACCUACCUGUAAGUGUUGUUUCUGAGAUUACGGUUGUGAUGGUUUACAUAUGCUAUGCUCGUCCCAGGGACUGGCCCUUUUAGAAGGUGUGGCCUUGUUGGAGAAAGUGUGUCACUGUGGGGGUGGGCUUGGAGAUCUUCCUCCUAGCUGCCUGAGGAUGCUCAGAGUGUUCCUGACUUCCUUCCAAAGAAGAUGUAGAACUCUCAGCUCUGCCUAUACCAUGUCUGCCUGGAUGCUGUCGUGCUCCCACCUUGAUGAUAAUAGAUUGAACCUCUGAACCUGUAAGCCAGCCCCAGUUAAAUGUUGUCCUUUAUAAGACUUGCCUUGGUUAUAGUGUCUGUUCACAGCAGUAAAACCUUACCCAAGACA
This 404-nucleotide long non-coding RNA is filed under the name Rattus norvegicus (Norway rat). Its description in RNAcentral is "long non-coding RNA NONRATT025007". The record is from RNAcentral. Lineage: Eukaryota; Metazoa; Chordata; Mammalia; Rodentia; Muridae.